Molecule: ribosomal RNA, 234 nt
Filed under: uncultured bacterium
Lineage: Bacteria
Description: partial 16S ribosomal RNA
Rfam family: Bacterial small subunit ribosomal RNA
Source: RNAcentral
GAUCAAUGGCUCAGGACGAACGCUGGCGGCGCGCCUAACACAUGCAAGUCGAACGGGGUUAUACGGGAUGAAGUUUUCGGAUGGAAUUCUAUAUAACCUAGUGGCGGACGGGUGAGUAACACGUGAGCAACCUGCCUAUCAGAGGGGGAUAACGAUUGGAAACGAUCGCUAAUACCGCAUGACAUAGCGAAGAGGCAUCUUUUUGCUAUCAAAGAUUUAUCGCUGAUAGAUGGG